CAGUAGCCGCGGUAAUACGAGGGGUGCUAGCGUUGUUCGGAAUCAUUGGGCGUAAAGAGUAUGUAGGCGGCCAGAUAAGCCAGUUGUGAAAUCCCCGGGCUCAACCCGGGAAGUGCAAUUGAUACUGUCUGGCUUGAGUAUGGAAGAGGGUAGUGGAAUUCCAGGUGUAGUGGUGAAAUACGUAGAUAUCUGGAGGAAUACCGGUGGCGAAGGCGGCUACCUGGUCCUAUACUGACGCUGAGAUACGAAAGCAUGGGUAGCAAACAGGAUUAGAUACCCCUGUAGUCCCUGUCUCUUAUAA
This 301-nucleotide ribosomal RNA is filed under the name uncultured bacterium. RNAcentral's name for it is "partial 16S ribosomal RNA". It matches the Rfam family "Bacterial small subunit ribosomal RNA", at positions 509 to 809 of the family's 1533-position model. The record is from RNAcentral.